RNAcentral lists this ribosomal RNA (465 nucleotides) under uncultured bacterium. RNAcentral's name for it is "partial 16S ribosomal RNA". It matches the Rfam family "Bacterial small subunit ribosomal RNA", at positions 28 to 507 of the family's 1533-position model. The record is from RNAcentral.
GACGAACGCUGGCGGCGUGCUUAACACAUGCAAGUCGAACGGAAAGGCCCUGCUUGCAGGGUACUCGAGUGGCGAACGGGUGAGUAACACGUGGGUGAUCUGCCCUGCACUUCGGGAUAAGCCUGGGAAACUGGGUCUAAUACCGGAUAGGAGCCAUUUUUAGUGUGAUGGUUGGAAAGUUUUUUCGGCGUAGGAUGAGCUCGCGGCCUAUCAGCUUGUUGGUGGGGUAAUGGCCUACCAAGGCGGCGACGGGUAGCCGGCCUGAGAGGGUGGACGGCCACAUUGGGACUGAGAUACGGCCCAGACUCCUACGGGAGGCAGCAGUGGGGAAUAUUGCACAAUGGGCGCAAGCCUGAUGCAGCGACGCCGCGUGGGGGAUGACGGCCUUCGGGUUGUAAACUCCUUUCGCUAGGGACGAAGCUUUUUGUGACGGUACCUAGAUAAGAAGCACCGGCUAACUACGUG